GAUGAACGCUGGCGGCGUGCCUAAUACAUGCAAGUCGAGCGAACAGACGAGGAGCUUGCUCCUCUGACGUUAGCGGCGGACGGGUGAGUAACACGUGGAUAACCUACCUAUAAGACUGGUAUAACUUCGGGAAACCGGAGCUAAUACCGGAUAAUAUAUUGAACCGCAUGGUUCAAUAGUGAAAGACGGUUUUGCUGUCACUUAUAGAUGGAUCCGCGCCGCAUUAGCUAGUUGGUAAGGUAACGGCUUACCAAGGCAACGAUGCGUAGCCGACCUGAGAGGGUGAUCGGCCACACUGGAACUGAGACACGGUCCAGACUCCUACGGGAGGCAGCAGUAGGGAAUCUUCCGCAAUGGGCGAAAGCCUGACGGAGCAACGCCGCGUGAGUGAUGAAGGUCUUCGGAUCGUAAAACUCUGUUAUUAGGGAAGAACAAAUGUGUAAGUAACUAUGCACGUCUUGACGGUAACUAAUCAGAAAGCCACGGCUAACUACGUG
This 497-nucleotide ribosomal RNA is filed under the name uncultured bacterium. Its description in RNAcentral is "partial 16S ribosomal RNA". It matches the Rfam family "Bacterial small subunit ribosomal RNA", at positions 28 to 507 of the family's 1533-position model. The record is from RNAcentral.